This 497-nucleotide ribosomal RNA is filed under the name uncultured bacterium. RNAcentral describes it as "partial 16S ribosomal RNA". It matches the Rfam family "Bacterial small subunit ribosomal RNA", at positions 28 to 507 of the family's 1533-position model. The record is from RNAcentral.
GAUGAACGCUGGCGGCGUGCCUAACACAUGCAAGUCGAGCGAACAGACGAUGAGCUUGCUCUGCUGACGUUAGCGGCGGACGUGUGAGUAACACGUGGAUCACCUACCUAUAAGACUGGGCUAACUUCGGGAAACCGGUGCUAAUACGGGAUAAUAUACUGCACCGUAUGGUUCAUUAGUGAAAGACGGUUAUGCUGGAACUUAUAUAUGGUUCCAGGCCGCAUUAGCUAGUUGGUAAGGUAACGGCUUAUCAAGGCAACGAGGCGUAGCCGACCUGUGAGGGUGAUCGGCCACACUGGAACUGAGCCGCGGUACAGACUCGUACGGGACGGGGCGGAAGGGAAUGGAACGCAAUGGGAGGGACGGUGGCGGGACCACGCCACGUGGGGGACAGGAGGCAUCGGAUCGUGAAACUCUGUUAUUAGGGUAAAACAAGUGUGUAAGUUACUCUGCGCGUGUUGACGGUACCUAAUCAAAAAGCAACGGCUAACUACGUG